UUAGUGGCGGACGGGUGAGUAACGCGUGGAAAACCUGCCGUAUACUGGGGGAUAACACUUAGAAAUAGGUGCUAAUACCGCAUAAGCGCACAGCUUCGCAUAAAGCGGUGUGAAAAACUCUGGUGGUAUACGAUGGUUCCGCGUCUGAUUAGCUAGUUGGUGGGGUAAUGGCCUACCAAGGCAACGAUCAGUAGCCGGCCUGAGAGGGUGAACGGCCACAUUGGGACUGAGACACGGCCCAGACUCCUACGGGAGGCAGCAG
This 262-nucleotide ribosomal RNA is filed under the name uncultured bacterium. RNAcentral describes it as "partial 16S ribosomal RNA". It matches the Rfam family "Bacterial small subunit ribosomal RNA", at positions 92 to 354 of the family's 1533-position model. The record is from RNAcentral.